This 446-nucleotide ribosomal RNA is filed under the name uncultured bacterium. RNAcentral's name for it is "bacterial SSU rRNA". It matches the Rfam family "Bacterial small subunit ribosomal RNA", at positions 331 to 794 of the family's 1533-position model. The record is from RNAcentral.
CCAGACUCCUACGGGAGGCAGCAGUGGGGGAUAUUGCACAAUGGGGGGAACCCUGAUGCAGCAACGCCGCGUGAGUGAAGAAGGUCUUCGGAUUGUAAAGCUCUGUUCUUGGUGAAGAUAAUGACGGUAGCCAAGGAGAAAGCUCCGGCUAACUACGUGCCAGCAGCCGCGGUAAUACGUAGGGGGCGAGCGUUAUCCGGAAUUACUGGGUGUAAAGGGAGCGUAGACGGCGAGGUAAGCCUGAAGUGGAAGCCCGCGGCCCAACCGCGGAACUGCUUUGGGAACUGUUUUGCUGGAGUAUGGGAGGGGGAAGCGGAAUUCCUGGUGUAGCGGUGAAAUGCGUAGAUAUCAGGAGGAACACCGGUGGCGAAGGCGGCUUACUGGACCAUAACUGACGUUGAGGCUCGAAAGCGUGGGGAGCAAACAGGAUUAGAUACCCGGGUAAC